This 253-nucleotide ribosomal RNA is filed under the name uncultured bacterium. RNAcentral's name for it is "partial 16S ribosomal RNA". It matches the Rfam family "Bacterial small subunit ribosomal RNA", at positions 524 to 776 of the family's 1533-position model. The record is from RNAcentral.
UACGGGGGGGGCAAGCGUUGUUCGGAAUUACUGGGCGUAAAGGGCUCGUAGGCGGCCAACUAAGUCAGACGUGAAAUCCCUCGGCUUAACCGGGGAACUGCGUCUGAUACUGGAUGGCUUGAGUGUGGGAGAGGGACGCGGAAUUCCUGGUGUAGCGGUGAAAUGCGCAGAUAUCAGGAGGAACACCAAUGGCGAAGGCAGCACUCUGGGACGUGACUGACGCUGAGACGCGAAAGCGUGGGGAGCAAACAGG